RNAcentral lists this ribosomal RNA (400 nucleotides) under uncultured bacterium. Its description in RNAcentral is "bacterial SSU rRNA". It matches the Rfam family "Bacterial small subunit ribosomal RNA", at positions 975 to 1375 of the family's 1533-position model. The record is from RNAcentral.
CUGGGCUAGACAACAGUGGACCGUCCCAGAAAUAGGAUUUUCCCUUCGGGGACUGCCGGUUCAGGUGCUGCAUGGCUGUCGUCAGCUCGCGCCGUGAGGUGUUGGGUUAAGUCCCGCAACGAGCGCAACCCUCGUCCUUAGUUGCCACCAUUCAGUUGGGCACUCUAGGGAGACUGCCGGCGUUAAGCCGGAGGAAGGUGGGGACGACGUCAAGUCAUCAUGGCCCUUAUGUCCAGGGCCACACACGUGCUACAAUGGACGGUACAAAGGGUCGCAAACCCGUGAGGGGGAGCCAAUCCCAAAAAGCCGUUCUCAGUUCGGAUUGGAGUCUGCAACUCGACUCCAUGAAGUUGGAAUCGCUAGUAAUCGCGGAUCAGCACGCCGCGGUGAAUACGUUCCC